Suricata suricatta (meerkat) is the source of this 509-nucleotide long non-coding RNA. RefSeq lists it as uncharacterized. NCBI's taxonomy places the organism in Eukaryota, Metazoa, Chordata, Mammalia, Carnivora, Herpestidae. The record is from RefSeq and is a predicted model, not a curated record. The transcript has 2 exons.
CUUCAGUCAAGGGUUCGGCCAGGUCUAUGGCCAUCUCAAGGAUUUGGUUCUAAGACAGUUCACUCACACAGCUUGGCCAACCUCAGUUCCUUGUUGGCCACUGGCAGGAGACCUCAGUUUCCCAUCCUGUGGGCCUCUCUGUAGAGCUUCUUGGGUUUCCUCCUAACAUGGCAGCUGCCCAUCCCCAGAGAGAAUGAUCCCAGAUACACACAAAGGCAGAAGCUACAAUGUCUUUUAUGACCCAGCCUUGGAUGUCACAUACCAUCACUUCUGCCAUAAUCUACUGGUUUACACAGACCAAUUCUGGCAGAGUUUGGGAGAAGACUACACAACAAUGGGAUAUUAAAAGUCAGAUCUCUAGAUUUUUUCCUUCUGCCAAGAAAUCAACAUGAAGCUGUUUCCUUAGGCAUUUCAGGAUGAAGAAGAUAUGUGGAAUGGAGCCAUAGCUCUGUAGCCAACCAACAUGUAACUAAAUGAGAAAUAAAUCUUUGUAGUUACAAGUUCUACAA